RNAcentral lists this ribosomal RNA (433 nucleotides) under uncultured bacterium. Its description in RNAcentral is "partial 16S ribosomal RNA". It matches the Rfam family "Bacterial small subunit ribosomal RNA", at positions 29 to 507 of the family's 1533-position model. The record is from RNAcentral.
AACGAACGCUGGCGGCAGGCUUAACACAUGCAAGUCGAGCGCAUCCUUCGGGGUGAGCGGCGGACGGGUGAGUAACGCGUGGGAACGUGCCCUCUUCUACGGAAUAGCCUCGGGAAACUGAGAGUAAUGCCGUAUACGCCCGCAAGGGGAAAGAUUUAUCGGAGGAGGAUCGGCCCGCGUUGGAUUAGGUAGUUGGUGGGGUAACGGCCUACCAAGCCGACGAUCCAUAGCUGGUUUGAGAGGAAGAUCAGCCACACUGGGACUGAGACACGGCCCAGACUCCUACGGGAAGCAGGAGUGGGGAAUCUUGGACAAUGGGGGCAACCCUGAUCCAGCCAUGCCGCGUGAUCGAUGAAGGCCUUAGGGUAGUAAAGAUCUUUAAGCUGGGAAGAUAAUGACGGUACCAGCAGAAGAAGCCCCGGCUAACUCCGUG